CUGUGGGAUUGGCAAGGUCCGGGACCCCCUUCGCCAUAUACUAGCUUCUCUUUGGGAGUUUCGUUCCAGGCCAGCUGUUGGUUGAGGGAGCUGAGUCAUGGCUCUUUUGGGAUCAGGGUGCAAGGAAGCAGCUUGAGGACCAUAAGGAAGAGUUGGUAUUCCAGCUCUAAGGCAACGUGCUCAGGAAUUUGAAGAGGCUGCUAUACUUUGUAGGGUUACUGUGGUUUGUUUUUUGUUUUUUGUUUUUUUUUUUUUUCAUUCCUCUUUGCCCCUUCCUGCCUUGCCCAGGACCACACUGUCCCCUCCUUCCUCUCUGAUGAGUGAGGAGUCGAAAGCUGGUGUCUCUGCAGUUCUCUGGUUGUGCUGUCCGUGCUGUCCAUGGUGUUCACUAAUAAACCUGUCACUCAACUCUAAAUUCUUAACUACUCCCCUUAUGUCAGUCUUCCUUGCUUUGACCUCUCUCUCACUGCCUGUCCCCCUGGCUUGGUAAUGGACCACAGACUGACAUGCAUACAUUACGUCCUUGUGCUCUGUGCCCUCCUGCCUCCAGGGAUGUAACUAUUCUCUUCUGAGUAUGCCUUUAGCCUGAAAUCUGUUUCCCUAAACGUUCCUGCAUGUGGGGGACACUCCAGAAGACUUGCCGGCUCCUCUUUUUCCAGCAAGCACCCUCCAUCUGGAAGCCUACUGCAGUUGGGGAGCUUCUGCUCCCUGGGGUCUCUGGACCUAAGUGCAGGGAUGGGACUGGAAAGAACUAUGCUGCUGUCUGCAAACCUCCAUAAGGACUUUGCUGGGCUGGGAGAUGGCCGCAGACAGGAGUAUCUUCACAUCCUUCGUCCAUUUGGAAAGGCAAUAUUUCAGGUUGUGGUGGUAAAAGUUAAUCUUCUACUGAGGGUGGAGAGACUACUUCCUCAGGCUGCCACCAGGAGAUAUGGCCUAGAUUAC
This 942-nucleotide long non-coding RNA is filed under the name Cricetulus griseus (Chinese hamster). Its description in RNAcentral is "lncRNA (ENSCGRG00015042946.1)". Lineage: Eukaryota; Metazoa; Chordata; Mammalia; Rodentia; Cricetidae. The record is from RNAcentral.